AUUUGGUUGAGGGAGAUGAAUCUUACAAUUUUCUGUGUUUAUUUGGCUGCGGGAUAGGGAAAGGAAACAGAGAGUCCAAUAGGCUUUUUAAGUUGCAGAGAUGGAGCUGAGAUUUAGAGAAGUGCAAGGCAACUAGAGUUCAAAAGAAAAUUUUCUGAUUCUGAUAGGGGAGGGCUACACUGAGGAAAAAACCCUAAAAAUUUGCAGAGGUGAUCCUUCAAGAAUUCAGCAGAAUUGUUUUCAAUGUAUGCAUGUAAGAAAACUAUGCAUGGCUGGGAGAUGAGGAGAGUUCGAGUACUGGAUUCUCAGCCAGGGGAUAUUCACCACCACUCUCUCCCACCCCCACCAGUUGAUUCAAUGUUGACCAUACUUGGAAGCAGACAGACUAGGCAGAAAGUGAAGAGUAAAAGAAAAAAAUGCAUGAAGGCCACAUGCUAAGGAACUUCAGCAUUCAUUUAUGCUUUCCUCCCCUGUUGCUUGGUUAGUGUGGAUCCCAACAUUUAAGGACACCGGAUGGACUCAUCGCCUAAAUUUAGCCACCUCUCAGGUAAAUGAGAAGCAAGUUUAUGACCAAUAUUAGCCAACUGGUACCAGGCUACAUCAUUGGUUGGACUCUUGAAAAGAAAGCUUAUUGGUAGAUGAAGCUGAAAAGAUGCGAGGGUGGGAACUGCUGUGAUUACCUAGCAAACAUAACAUGACAUUCUGUGGAGAACAACGGCAUCUUUGAGAACCAACAAGAAGAUGAAAAGGGGGAGCAUGUGCUGACACAGAUGUGUACCACUCUCCAGUGAUCUAUGAGGGAUUGAAAAAAUAGACAUCAGUGGAGCAAAAAGUAUUAUAUUUUGUCUUGAAAUAAACCUUUGAUUUACAUUUUGGCUCUUAUUUUCUUUGUAGUGGUCAGCUAUAUGUACUUAUAUUUUUACAUUCAAUACUUUGGAUAAAGGAUAAUUGGUAUGGAAAUAUGCUUCCUCUAAAUUACUUUUAUAUCUUCAAAAUUUUCUUUAAUAUGUUGUCCAAAUAUUACAUUGAAAUAUGAAAAUAAAAUAUCACUGCCCAGCACGAUGGCUCACGCCUGUAAUCCCAGCAUUUUAGAAGGCUGAAGUGGGCUGACUGCUUGAGGUCAGGAGUUCGAGACCAGCCUGGUUAACAUGGUGAAACCCCGCCUCUUCUAAAAAUACCAAAAUUAGCCGGGCAUGGUGGU
Long non-coding RNA from Pan paniscus (pygmy chimpanzee), 1201 nucleotides. The record is from Ensembl. Lineage: Eukaryota; Metazoa; Chordata; Mammalia; Primates; Hominidae.